CAGUUAUUACCGAAUUGUUUUAUUUAUAUAUUAUAUUUAAGUUUGGUGUUUUAUUAUUACCAUUGUAUGAAAAAUCCUGGAAAAAAAUAUUUUUAUUUUUAUACAAUAUUAUAAUUUUAACAGAUUUGGGCAAUAUUAUUUCAUUGCAAAAUUUUUAAUACACAAAAAUAUAGAAUCUGUUAGGAUCUAGAUAGAAAUCUUUUCGGAGAAUUUUCAUGUUUACAACCACUAGAGACAUCUCCAAAAAUACUUUCUUCAUUAAGUGGUAAAAGAAUUUUAUACGCUUAUUCUUUAUAUAUAUAAGAAAUAAUUAUUAAAAUAAAUAAAAAAUAAAAAUAAAAAAUAAUUUUUUUUUAAUGUUUUCAAAUUAUACUUUUCAAAUUUGAAAUUUUUUAUAAAUUUUUUUAAUUGUUUCGGAUUUGUUUUUUUUUCAAAAUUCUUUUUGAACAUUGAAAUUUAUUUUUGAAACUAUUUUUUAAAAAAAAUUAAAGUUUUUUUAAGUAUUUAUUUAUAUAUUUAUUAGAAUCUUAAAUUUCACAAUCCAAAAAUCCUACCCCAUCCUCA
Molecule: long non-coding RNA, 564 nt
Filed under: Brassica napus (rape)
Lineage: Eukaryota; Viridiplantae; Streptophyta; Magnoliopsida; Brassicales; Brassicaceae
Description: long non-coding RNA (BNAP_LNC013366)
Source: RNAcentral